Neolamprologus brichardi is the source of this 1745-nucleotide long non-coding RNA. RefSeq lists it as uncharacterized. NCBI's taxonomy places the organism in Eukaryota, Metazoa, Chordata, Actinopteri, Cichliformes, Cichlidae. The record is from RefSeq and is a predicted model, not a curated record.
UGUGAGUCCUUUAGCGCUGCAGUAAAUAUUUCUGAUGAGAUAUCAGUACGUAAGGUAGGGGACGGGAGAAGGUGGUGGAGUUGAGUAUGUAGGAGGAGCAACACAGGAGCAGAGUGUUUGAUGUGACAGCUGGAGAUUGUAAGAAUGAGGGGUGACACAGUGCUCCAGCUUCCUCAGCCCUGGUCGGUCACCCAGUCAGCCUGUCAGUCAGUCACUCUCUGAGAUUCCAACUCUGUUUACUCUUGUGUUAUUAACAUGUGUGAGUCUCUUUGUAUGUGUGUGUGUGUGUCCGUGUUUAUCCUCAGGCAAUAGAUCUGGAAGAAGUGACAGUGUGGCGUGGCCCUCUGUCAGUCGCCCAGUAAAGUGGCAUGCGUGUCAGCUCUCCUGACAGACGCUCUCAUCCUGCUGGCCAACGGUGGCGGCUGCAAAUGUGGGACAUGUCUUGUGACAGAGCGACACAGCCUACACGACAACUCGGCAUGCAGACAGGACAUGAGCAGUCAAGUUUGAUGUGAGGGGGGUCACUGCUGAGGGCCCGGGCUCUCAGAGGACAGAACUCCACCAGGUGCUGCUGAAAACAAUGGCUGGCCCAUGCAGGGAUCAAUGCCAGGCCACUGAUGGGCUCUCAUUCCUUCACCAGCGGACGUGAUAAAUGACAUGGCCCAUAUGUUUCAGUAGCCUAGACUCCAGCCAUCAGCCUCCUUUGUCUCCACAUCUAAAGGGAGUUACGCAGUGAAAAAUCAGUAAAUCCUGAUGUCUAUACAGGUAGCAGCGCUCUGGCCCCUGCCGGCCGUGUCCCAGGUGUCUUGUCAGCUGUCAGAGACGUCCGACAGCAGACAGGGAUGGCAUGACCAGCGGGCCGGGCCGUGUUGGACGGGUCAGCCGUCAGCGUUGUGGACAGACAGGCAUGUGGCAGUGAUCUCCCUGUGACAGGCUGUCAGAGCCGCCGGAGAGCCACCAACCAGCACUCGCCCCCUGUCAUCCCACCUGACUACAGACAGAAGGAAAGCUCUGAAUUCUCAACUUGGCACCCGGACUCCACCGCUUCCUCCCCCCCCGCUGCUGUACAGUACAGCCACUGUGGCUUCUAAAUUCAGUGGGUUUUUUGAGGCAGAUCAGCGAAAUGCACCGGUGUGGUCGAGCCCUCGGAAAGAUGGCGUGUACGGACGUUGCUAUCUUGAAGAUGUCUGGAAACAUGUCUGUGACAAAGAGGGCUGAAACGCCGGUCCAUUCAAGCUGGGAACAUGUGCCAUAGUUUCCUCAGGAUGCUUCCUGUCGAGCCAGGGCCACCUCGUAGAACACAGCCAGGCCGGCCUUGUCUCUGUCACCCCUGUCAUCUCACAUCACAUCCUGUUUGACUCCAAAGCGGUGCUCUUUGGGUAAAACCAUUAACGGAGCCGACCGACACAAACAGGACCACAUUUUGACACUCGGCCGCCACCCUGACGUAACCGAGCACGACACCUGACGUGGGGAAAAGGUCACACGACUCGUCAAAGAGACAGGGGUGCCUCAGAUGGAGGACGCGAGGACUCAAAAAUGGACGCCUCCCGACAGUGAUGAUGGACACAUGGCUGAAGCAUGGCCUUCUGGGAGCGGUGGGAGGAGUGGAUGUCCUGCCGGGAACUGUCCCUUCCGGUUCCUCCGGUCCGCUGACGAGUUGUGUCCUCGCUGAUUUUGCAUGAUGAGACUCACACUAAGGCAGCGGAGACAGACAGGAAAUGUGAAUGACAGGCAGCAAUCGU